This 484-nucleotide ribosomal RNA is filed under the name uncultured bacterium. RNAcentral's name for it is "partial 16S ribosomal RNA". It matches the Rfam family "Bacterial small subunit ribosomal RNA", at positions 30 to 507 of the family's 1533-position model. The record is from RNAcentral.
AUUGAACGCUGGCGGCAGGCCUAACACAUGCAAGUCGAGCGGAUGAAGGGAGCUUGCUCCUGGAUUCAGCGGCGGACGGGUGAGUAAUGCCUAGGAAUCUGCCUGGUAGUGGGGGAUAACGUCCGGAAACGGGCGCUAAUACCGCAUACGUCCUGAGGGAGAAAGUGGGGGAUCUUCGGACCUCACGCUAUCAGAUGAGCCUAGGUCGGAUUAGCUAGUUGGUGGGGUAAAGGCCUACCAAGGCGACGAUCCGUAACUGGUCUGAGAGGAUGAUCAGUCACACUGGAACUGAGACACGGUCCAGACUCCUAAGAGAGGCAGCAGUGGGGAAUAUUGGACAAUGGGCGAAAGCCUGAUCCAGCCAUGCCGCGUGUGUGAAGAAGGUCUUCGGAUUGUAAAGCACUUUAAGUUGGGAGGAAGGGCAGUAAGUUAAUACCUUGCUGUUUUGACGUUACCAACAGAAUAAGCACCGGCUAACUUCGUG